This 443-nucleotide ribosomal RNA is filed under the name uncultured bacterium. Its description in RNAcentral is "partial 16S ribosomal RNA". It matches the Rfam family "Bacterial small subunit ribosomal RNA", at positions 338 to 795 of the family's 1533-position model. The record is from RNAcentral.
CCUACGGGAGGCAGCAGUGGGGAAUAUUGGGCAAUGGGCGCAAGCCUGACCCAGCAACGCCGCGUGAAGGAAGAAGGCUUUCGGGUUGUAAACUUUCUUUGUCAGGGACGAAGCAAGUGACGGUACCUGACGAAUAAGCCACGGCUAACUACGUGCCAGCAGCCGCGGUAAUACGUAGGUGGCAAGCGUUAUCCGGAUUUACUGGGUGUAAAGGGCGUGUAGGCGGGGAAGCAAGUCAGAUGUGAAAACCACGGGCUCAACCUGUGGCCUGCAUUUGAAACUGUUUUUCUUGAGUACUGGAGAGGCAGACGGAAUUCGUGGUGUAGCGGUGAAAUGCGUAGAUAUUAGGAAGAACACCAGUGGCGAAGGCGGUCUACUGGACAGCAACUGACGCUGAGGCGCGAAAGCGUGGGGAGCAAACAGGAUUAGAUACCCCAGUAGUC